AUACGGAGGGGGCAAGCGUUGCUCGGAAUUACUGGGCGUAAAGGGUCCGCAGGUGGCUUUGUAAGUUAGAUGGGAAAGCUCAGGGCUCAACCCUGAAACUGCAUCUAAAACUGCUUAGCUUGAGUACAGGAGAGGUUGGCGGAAUUCCCGGUGUAGCGGUGAAAUGCGUAGAUAUCGGGUGGAACACCAGUGGCGAAGGCGGCCAACUGGCCUGUUACUGACACUCAGGGACGAAAGCGUGGGGAGCAAACCGGAUUAGAAACCCCAGUAGUCC
This 274-nucleotide ribosomal RNA is filed under the name uncultured bacterium. RNAcentral's name for it is "partial 16S ribosomal RNA". It matches the Rfam family "Bacterial small subunit ribosomal RNA", at positions 523 to 796 of the family's 1533-position model. The record is from RNAcentral.